GGUUAAGCGACUAAGCGUACACGGUGGAUGCCCUGGCAGUCAGAGGCGAUGAAGGACGUGCUAAUCUGCGAUAAGCGUCGGUAAGGUGAUAUGAACCGUUAUAACCGGCGAUUUCCGAAUGGGGAAACCCAGUGUGAUUCGUCACACUAUCAUUAACUGAAUCCAUAGGUUAAUGAGGCGAACCGGGGGAACUGAAACAUCUAAGUACCCCGAGGAAAAGAAAUCAACCGAGAUUCCCCCAGUAGCGGCGAGCGAACGGGGAGCAGCCCAGAGCCUGAAUCAGUGUGUGUGUUAGUGGAAGCGUCUGGAAAGGCGCGCGAUACAGGGUGACAGCCCCGUACACAAAAAUGCACAUACUGUGAGCUCGAUGAGUAGGGCGGGACACGUGGUAUCCUGUCUGAAUAUGGGGGGACCAUCCUCCAAGGCUAAAUACUCCUGACUGACCGAUAGUGAACCAGUACCGUGAGGGAAAGGCGAAAAGAACCCCGGCGAGGGGAGUGAAAAAGAACCUGAAACCGUGUACGUACAAGCAGUGGGAGCACGCUUAGGCGUGUGACUGCGUACCUUUUGUAUAAUGGGUCAGCGACUUAUAUUCUGUAGCAAGGUUAACCGAAUAGGGGAGCCGAAGGGAAACCGAGUCUUAACUGGGCGUUAAGUUGCAGGGUAUAGACCCGAAACCCGGUGAUCUAGCCAUGGGCAGGUUGAAGGUUGGGUAACACUAACUGGAGGACCGAACCGACUAAUGUUGAAAAAUUAGCGGAUGACUUGUGGCUGGGGGUGAAAGGCCAAUCAAACCGGGAGAUAGCUGGUUCUCCCCGAAAGCUAUUUAGGUAGCGCCUCGUGAAUUCAUCUCCGGGGGUAGAGCACUGUUUCGGCAAGGGGGUCAUCCCGACUUACCAACCCGAUGCAAACUGCGAAUACCGGAGAAUGUUAUCACGGGAGACACACGGCGGGUGCUAACGUCCGUCGUGAAGAGGGAAACAACCCAGACCGCCAGCUAAGGUCCCAAAGUCAUGGUUAAGUGGGAAACGAUGUGGGAAGGCCCAGACAGCCAGGAUGUUGGCUUAGAAGCAGCCAUCAUUUAAAGAAAGCGUAAUAGCUCACUGGUCGAGUCGGCCUGCGCGGAAGAUGUAACGGGGCUAAACCAUGCACCGAAGCUGCGGCAGCGACGCUUAUGCGUUGUUGGGUAGGGGAGCGUUCUGUAAGCCUGUGAAGGUGUACUGUGAGGUAUGCUGGAGGUAUCAGAAGUGCGAAUGCUGACAUAAGUAACGAUAAAGCGGGUGAAAAGCCCGCUCGCCGGAAGACCAAGGGUUCCUGUCCAACGUUAAUCGGGGCAGGGUGAGUCGACCCCUAAGGCGAGGCCGAAAGGCGUAGUCGAUGGGAAACAGGUUAAUAUUCCUGUACUUGGUGUUACUGCGAAGGGGGGACGGAGAAGGCUAUGUUGGCCGGGCGACGGUUGUCCCGGUUUAAGCGUGUAGGCUGGUUUUCCAGGCAAAUCCGGAAAAUCAAGGCUGAGGCGUGAUGACGAGGCACUACGGUGCUGAAGCAACAAAUGCCCUGCUUCCAGGAAAAGCCUCUAAGCAUCAGGUAACAUCAAAUCGUACCCCAAACCGACACAGGUGGUCAGGUAGAGAAUACCAAGGCGCUUGAGAGAACUCGGGUGAAGGAACUAGGCAAAAUGGUGCCGUAACUUCGGGAGAAGGCACGCUGAUAUGUAGGUGAAGUCCCUCGCGGAUGGAGCUGAAAUCAGUCGAAGAUACCAGCUGGCUGCAACUGUUUAUUAAAAACACAGCACUGUGCAAACACGAAAGUGGACGUAUACGGUGUGACGCCUGCCCGGUGCCGGAAGGUUAAUUGAUGGGGUCAGCGCAAGCGAAGCUCUUGAUCGAAGCCCCGGUAAACGGCGGCCGUAACUAUAACGGUCCUAAGGUAGCGAAAUUCCUUGUCGGGUAAGUUCCGACCUGCACGAAUGGCGUAAUGAUGGCCAGGCUGUCUCCACCCGAGACUCAGUGAAAUUGAACUCGCUGUGAAGAUGCAGUGUACCCGCGGCAAGACGGAAAGACCCCGUGAACCUUUACUAUAGCUUGACACUGAACAUUGAGCCUUGAUGUGUAGGAUAGGUGGGAGGCUUGGAAGUGUGGACGCCAGUCUGCAUGGAGCCGACCUUGAAAUACCACCCUUUAAUGUUUGAUGUUCUAACGUGGACCCGUGAUCCGGGUUGCGGACAGUGUCUGGUGGGUAGUUUGACUGGGGCGGUCUCCUCCUAAAGAGUAACGGAGGAGCACGAAGGUUGGCUAAUCCUGGUCGGACAUCAGGAGGUUAGUGCAAUGGCAUAAGCCAGCUUGACUGCGAGCGUGACGGCGCGAGCAGGUGCGAAAGCAGGUCAUAGUGAUCCGGUGGUUCUGAAUGGAAGGGCCAUCGCUCAACGGAUAAAAGGUACUCCGGGGAUAACAGGCUGAUACCGCCCAAGAGUUCAUAUCGACGGCGGUGUUUGGCACCUCGAUGUCGGCUCAUCACAUCCUGGGGCUGAAGUAGGUCCCAAGGGUAUGGCUGUUCGCCAUUUAAAGUGGUACGCGAGCUGGGUUUAGAACGUCGUGAGACAGUUCGGUCCCUAUCUGCCGUGGGCGCUGGAGAACUGAGGGGGGCUGCUCCUAGUACGAGAGGACCGGAGUGGACGCAUCACUGGUGUUCGGGUUGUCAUGCCAAUGGCACUGCCCGGUAGCUAAAUGCGGAAGAGAUAAGUGCUGAAAGCAUCUAAGCACGAAACUUGCCCCGAGAUGAGUUCUCCCUGACUCCUUGAGAGUCCUGAAGGAACGUUGAAGACGACGACGUUGAUAGGCCGGGUGUGUAAGCGCAGCGAUGCGUUGAGCUAACCGGUACUAAUGAACCGUGAGGCUUAACCUU
This 2904-nucleotide ribosomal RNA is filed under the name Escherichia coli. Its description in RNAcentral is "23S ribosomal RNA". It matches the Rfam family "Bacterial large subunit ribosomal RNA". The record is from RNAcentral. Lineage: Bacteria; Pseudomonadati; Pseudomonadota; Gammaproteobacteria; Enterobacterales; Enterobacteriaceae.